GGAAUAUUGCACAAUGGGGGAAACCCUGAUGCAGCGACGCCGCGUGAGUGAAGAAGUGUUUCGGCACGUAAAGCUCUGUCAGCAGGGAAGAUAAUGACGGUAGCAUAGGAGGAAGCUCCGGCUAACUACGUGCCAGCAGCCGCGGUAAUACGUAGGGAGCAAGCGUUGUCCGGAUUUACUGGGUGUAAAGGGUGCGUAGGCGGGCUUGCAAGUCAGAAGUGAAAUCUAUGGGCUUAACCCAUAAACUGCUUUUGAAACUGUAAGUCUUGAGUGAAGUAGAGGUAGGCGGAAUUCCCGGUGUAGCGGUGAAAUGCGUAGAGAUCGGGAGGAACACCAGUGGCGAAGGCGGCCUACUGGGCUUUAACUGACGCUGAGGCACGAAAGCGUGGGUAGCAAACAGA
RNAcentral lists this ribosomal RNA (401 nucleotides) under uncultured bacterium. RNAcentral's name for it is "bacterial SSU rRNA". It matches the Rfam family "Bacterial small subunit ribosomal RNA", at positions 358 to 776 of the family's 1533-position model. The record is from RNAcentral.